AAUCGAGAAUUAAUCAAAGACAAUCAAAUGCGAAAAGCGGAAGAACAUUUCAGACUAUUUCCAAAUUGACAGAUUCGGUUGUGAUUUUCAUAUUUGGACUGAAGAUACAACAUUUUUGGGGGGAACUUCCGCGUUGCAGCAGGCGGCGGGCGGCGGGCGGCGGGCGGCAGGCGCAUGAAUAAUGAGUAAACAGAGACCAGACUUUGGCAAUUAAUCUGCCGACAACCGAUCUCUAUCUCCCUCUCACUCCUUGGUUCAAGAACACUUAUUAAGCGUGUUUUAUUGCUAAAUUCAAAUUCAAUUCAAAGGUUAAUAAACAAUGUCGAAUGGCGCACAUGAAAAACGUCAUUUUAUCGCACAAAGAAAGCGCCUGCUAGUGGCAGAUAAAUGAGACAACUCCUCGGGCGGGGGAGGAGAGACUCUUGACGCUGGAUGCUGCUCUUUAUCUGUGAGUGCCCCUCGUUGUGGUAAUUCCUAAAAAGGCCACGCCAAGUGCAUUAAACAAUAAUCAAUGCGACAACUUCGUUGCGCCUCCCUUCGUCCCGUCCGUCUUUCUGCGCGUUGUUUUGAGUAAUAUGCAAAUACUCUUUAAAUACGCAGGCGCAUAAAUUAAAGCAAGGAAAUGCCACAGCAAUGGACAGGCACAGACAGCCACCUCCCCCCCCCCCAGGAUCGGUGCCACCAAGCCCGCCUCCGAAGGGGGUCAAACGCACAAAGAAAUCGCUGAAUCUGAAUCUGACUUAAUUUACAGUAAGCCGACUCGAGAGGAUGACUCUCCCAUCACACUUGGCCUCCAGCACCAGCCCGACUCUGUCCAGGAACCAGCGAAAAUUUCACUUGCCUUUUAUGGCCAAAUGUUAAUUUGUCUUUCGGGCCAUGACUGCUGCUGCUUGGCCAUUAAAUACACGACUGCCUACAAGCCAUUCAAAAGAAAGCGAGUCCAAGGAGUCCCCGCCGCCAUCAACCAACAACAGCUGCGUGGGCAGGACACUCUGACUGGAUGGUCGCUGCCACUGCCACUGACACUCUGGACAUAACCAUGGACUGAUGACUGCUUGGAAAUACCCGUGGAUCGGGGAAGUGAAGAGAUGAUUUACUGGCAAGAAAUUAAGAAACUAGACCUCCACAAAAACGGAAGAACACCUAAAAUACAGUCUCAAGAAAGUGAGACAAUCUAAGAUUGUCAUAUGUAGAAAAUGCACAGAACACAUGAGCACAUUUUGGCAAACAGAGACCAAAACAGAGAUCAAUGUCAAUACAAGCCUACACGGAA
Long non-coding RNA from Drosophila persimilis, 1273 nucleotides. RefSeq lists it as uncharacterized. Lineage: Eukaryota; Metazoa; Arthropoda; Insecta; Diptera; Drosophilidae. The record is from RefSeq and is a predicted model, not a curated record. The transcript has 2 exons.